GGCAGGCCAGGGCACUUCCGGGACCGGGGAACUGUGGGAUCACGGCGGACUGAGACUGGCGGCGUUCCUGUCACGUCAGGUGUCUCCCGGGCAACGCAGUAUCCCGGCGGCCCCGCGUGGCCUCAGCGCGUCCUUAGGAUGGGCGGGGCCUCUUCCCUCCCCAAGGCGCGCCCCGCACUGAGGACCCCGAGGUUGGGGUAGGGUCUGGCCUCCAGCAGGACGCCCGGAUGAAAGUCAGCCCUGCGGCGUCGCCAACCGCAGCCCACAGCCUCCGCGGGCAGCGCAGCGGCGACCUCUCAGCUCCCGGGGCCCCCUCGGUCAGUGGCAGCGGGUGUCCCCGGCCACGGGGGCGACGUGAUCCCAGCUGGCGAGUGGCGAUGUCGCCAAGGACAUUCGUAGGACGGGACAGUGCCCACUCGAUAGAAAUUCCCCGUGCGCCGGGCUCUGCGCAGAAGCUUUUCGAGGUGACUGCAGCCUCCUUAUGGGGAGAAACGUCUUUUUUUUUUUUUUUUUUUUUUUUGAGACGGAGUCUUACUUGUUGCCCAGGCUGGAGUGCAACGGCGCGAUCUCGGCUCACUGCAACCCCGCCUGCUGGGUUCAAGCGAUUCUCCUGUCUCAGCCUCCCGAGUAGCUGGGAUUACAGGCGCCCGCCACCACGCCCAGCUAAUUUUUGUAUUUUUAGUGGAGACGAGGUUUCACCAUGUUGGCCAGGCUGGUCUCGAACUCUUGACCUCGUGAUCCGCCCGCCUCGGCCUCCCAAAGUGCUGGGAUGACAGGCGUGAGCUACUGCGCCCGGCCAGAAACGUUUUUUUAAAGCCAGAUGACGCAGCGCCCUGGAGCUGGGGAGACGUUUACUGAGGUUGAAUAUCCGGGAUCUAAGUCCUGAAUAGUCCACCAUUGAUAAGUUGUGUGACUUGGAACAAAUUACUACCCCGCGUCGAUGUGGAGAGGAUUAAACAUUAACAGCGCGAUGUAAAUUCAAGCUGGUAAUACAGGAAAUAGUGAGGUGCCCAGCCCUUACCCCCACAAAGGAACAAAUAAGCCAGAUCACCGAUCACCCUGUGAAACCACCUUUCCUGCAGACACUGAAAAGAAGGAGGGAAUUGCAGCCCAAGGAGGACCCGCUCCACCAGGUGAACCGGGAAACUCCAGGAGGGAAACGCGUUGGCCCCACUGAACUUUUUUUUGUUGUUGUUAUCAGAGUUGCUCAAAGUAAAAAAUAGGAGCAGUAUGAUUUUUUCUUUUAUUUUUAAUUGACAAAUAAUAAUUAUAUAAACAAUGUAAUUUCUAACAACAAAGGAAUGCUAAAAAAUAUACAUUAAAAAAAGAAAAAAAAGACAAAAUAAAAUAUACAUUGAACCUGGUGCAGUGGCACAGGCCUGCAGCCCCAGCUACUCAGGAGGCUGAGGCAGGGAAUUAUUGACUUUCUGAGAUUGAAUAUCAGGGGUCUAGAUCUCAUCCCACCACUGAGGAUCGCUUGAGCCCAGGAGUUUGAGGCUGCAGUGAGGAAUGAUUCCUUUGCGCCACUGCACUCCAGCCUGGGCCACAAAGGGAGACUCUGUCUCUUAAGUAAACAUAGAAUAUUAUUGAUUCAUAAAAUCAUGAUUUUGAAAAUUAAUGACAUGAAAAAUAUGCACAAUAUAUUUCAGAAAGCAAAAUGUAUAAUUUCAUUUAAAAAAUGCAUAGCAUGGUCCCAGCUUUGUGUGUAUUCUGUGCCAAUAAAGCUCACAGCAAGGAAAUAUUACUUUUCUGCACGUGAUGAAUGUACAUCCUUUGUACAUUUUCCCAAAUGUCUACAAUGAGCCUGUAGUUCUCUCAUGCUCAGAAAAUAUGAAUGCCUUUUUCUAAAAGGAAAAGGUAAUUAUAGCUACUUAUUUUGGACUUUUUUUUUCCUUUAAAAAAUUAAGAUAUUUACAUACAGUAAAAUUUACUCUUGCAAUUUAUGAUGCAGUGAGUUUUGAUAAAUGUGUAUAAACGACUGGGCAUGGUGACUCACGCCUAUAAUCCCAGCACGUGGGGAGGCCGAGGCUGCCAGAUCACUUGAGGUCAGGGGUUCGAGACCAGCCUGGCCAACAUGGUAAAACCCGUCUCUAUCUACUAAAAAUACAAAACGUAGCUGGCCGUGGUGGUGCACAGAAUCACUUGAACCCGAGAGGUGGAGGUUGCAGUGAGCCAAGAUUGCACCAUUGCACUCCAGCCUGGGUGACAGAGCAAGACUCCAUCUCAAAACAAACAAACAAAUAAUAAGAAAACAAUAAUAAAACAAAAUAAAUAAAUGUAUAUAACCAUGUAACUACUACCACAAUCUAGUUAUAGGACAAUUUCAUUCCCCCAAAUUCCCUCUUGCCUCACCCCAUCCACUGGCAACCACUGACUUGAUUUCUGUCCCUAUAGUUUUUGUUUUUGUUUUUGUUUUUUUGAGACGGAGUCUCGCUCUAUCACCCAGGCUGGAGUGCAGUGGUGCAAUCUCAGCUCACUGCAACCUCCGCCUCCCGGGUUCAAGCGAUUCUCCUGCCUCAGCCUCCUGAGUAGCUGGGAUGACAGGCACGUGCCACCACACCUGGCUAAUUUUUGUAUUUUUAGUAGAGACAGGGUUUCAUCAUGUUGCCCAGGAUGGUCUCAAACUCCUGACCUCAGGUGAUCUGCCAGCAUCAGGCUCCCAAAGUGCUGGGGUUACAGGCAUGAGCCACCACGCCUGGCCUGUCCCUAUAGUUUUGAUAUUUCCAGAAUAUCAUAUAGAUGGAAUCAUACAGUAUGACACCUUUUCAGUCUGGCUUCUUUCAUCUGUCAUAAAGUAUCUAAAAUUCAUCCAUGUUGUUGCAUGUAUCUGUGGUUCAUGUCUUCUUGCUGGUAUUCCACUAGAUGAAUACACCACUAUUUGUUUAUCUAGUCCCUGGUUGAAGGACAUAUGGGUUUUUCCAGUUUUUGGCAAUUAUGAAUAAAGCUGCUAUAAACAUUCAUGUACAGAUUUUUGUGUGAACAUAAGUUUUCAUGUCACUUGGGUAAAUAUGUAGAUGUGGGAUUGCUGUGUUAUAUGAUAUGUCUGUGUUUAACUUUCUAAGAAACUGGUAAACUGUUUUCCAAAGUGGCUGUAUCACUUUCACAUUGCUACCAGCAAUGUAUGAGAGUUCUGUUUGCUCAGAGAGCUUAUUUUUAAUGAUGAUAAUAAGAAGGAAAAUUUCCUAGCCCUUACUAUAUGACAGGUACCAUUCGAAGCAUGUUACAUGCAUUGUCUCUUUUAAUUCACACAGCAAUUCUGAGGUUGUUAGUUUUUAUUACUAUACCCAUCUAACAGAUAGGAGAUGAAGAUCUAGUUAAAACAAGCAACAAAAUAAAAAUUUGCCUAAGGCCGUAUACCUAAGUCUUCCUGCCGUUCAUUAAGCUAGUCAAUACAUUUAUUGAACACCUGUUCCUGUUAGCGACAGGUACUCAAGCUAGGUGCCGGGAAUUCAGCAGUGAACAAAAUAGACCCCAUGCUUGCCUCUACAGAGCUAUUUCUAUGUAUGAAAAGGGCAUUUGUACAAAUAAACAUAUAAUUGUGAUAGAUCCGAUAAAAGAGAAGUAAAGCACAUGUUGAGAGACUAUAUGGUUAGAGUUCUGAUUGGAUUAGGGGUCAGGAAAGCCUUUUCUUUCUUUUUCUUUUUCUUUUUUUCUUUUUUUUUUUUUUUUUUGAGACAGAGUUUCUCUCUUGUUGCCCAGGCUGGAGUGCAAUGGCGCGACCUCGGCUCACCGCAACCUCCGCCUCCUGGAUUCAAGUGAUUCGCCUGCCUCAGCCUCCUGAGUAGCUGGGAUUACAGGCAUACGCCACCACACCCGGCUAAUUUUUGUAUUUUUAGUAGAGACGGGGUUUCUCCAUGUUGGCCAUGCUGGUCUUGAACUCCUGACCUCAGGUGAUCCGCCUGCCUUGACCUCCCUAACUGCUGGGAUUACGGGUGUGAGCCAUCAAGCCCGGCCAGGAAAGGCUUUUCUGAGGAAGUGAUUUUUAAGCUGAAGCCAAGGGUUGGAAGUGAAGAUAACACAUAGAUAAAAGGAACAGAAUGUGCAAAAGCCAUGAGUAUGAAAAGAGUCGGCCAGGGUGAUGGAAGUUUGAAAGCCCAAGGGAGAGUGAUACACGAGGAAGCUGGAGAAAUGGGCACUGCCGGACGGUGAAGGAUCUGGAAGGUCUUCUUGAAGGAAUGGGAAGCCUCUGACGGACUGUAAGCAGAGGAGGGGCAUGACCAGGUUUACCAUGCCUGCCAUCAGCCCUGGUCUCUCUGUUUUUUGUUUUUUGUUUUUUUCUUUGCCUCUGAGCUUCCCAUAUUGUUGUGGAGAAUCAUGAAACCAGGGUGACCAUGUUCAGCACAAAUUCCUGUUGCCUUAUUUCCACUGAUUCUCAUUGUCCUUCUCAGCAUCCAUUGUCCGUUCUCAAUGGCACUCUCCCGUGACCCAAAACCUUUGCCUCCUCUGGAGCUCCCAACUCCAUGAUACCCCUUCUCCCUCUUUGCAGAUAAGCUACUAAUAAUAUAAGUUUGAGUUUAGGAGAGUUAUGCAGUACAAAGAAGUAAAGGAAGUUAAAAGAGCAGAGAGAUAGGUUGACACACUGGGUUUUAAAAAACUUCUUUAAGUAAUAACAGACUAGAUUGAUUCAUUUAUGUCAAACAAAAGAAGGAAAUACCUUUGACAGGAGGUGGAAAUCUAGAAAGAGAUUGUAUACUUCUGACAGAAAUAAAAUGUGGAAGUUUAUGGAUAUGAGAAAUUUGGGUAUGAAAAUAAGGAGCACGUGAUAUUUUCACAAAUGAGCUGGGCUCAAAAAAAACAACUUCCAGGCUGGGCACGGUGGCUCACGCCUGUAAUCCCAGCACUCUGGGAGGCCGAGGUGGGUGGAUCACCUGAGGUGGGGAGUUCGAGACCAGCCUGACCAACAUGGACAAACCCUGUCUCUACUAAAAAUACAAAAUUAGUCUGGCAUGGUGGCGCAUGCUGGCGCAUGCCUGUAAUCCCAACUACUCAGGAGGCUGAGGCAGGAGAAUCACUUGAACCCGGGAGGUGGAGGUUGCAGUGAGCCAAGAUUGUGUCACUGCACUACAGCUUUGGUGACAAAGCAAGUCUCCAUCUCAAUAAAUAAAUAAAAUACAUACAUACAUACAUACAUACAUACAUACAUACAUACAAAAAAUUAGCUGGGUGUGGUG
This 5171-nucleotide long non-coding RNA is filed under the name Homo sapiens (human). RNAcentral describes it as "non-protein coding lnc-FAM57A-5:1". The record is from RNAcentral. Lineage: Eukaryota; Metazoa; Chordata; Mammalia; Primates; Hominidae.